AUUCAUACCUACCGACUGGAAUUGGUUUCAUGGUGGUAUCAGAUGGGUUGAUGUAGGUGUACGGUAACCGAUGGUUACCUUGCUCACAUUAUCUCGUCUGCCAAGGUGUUUCGGCAGGAAAAGCCUUGGCAGACUUAUAUAUUCCUGACAUGAGGGUUCAUACCUACCGACUGGAAUUGGUUUCAUGGUGGUAUCAGAUGGGUUAAAUUAGGGGUCCCGGUGGCCACCUUUGAGAGCGUCUGCCAAGCACUUCCGGCAAUAAAAAUACUGGCAGACUUCGCUUUUCUGUGUCUACAUGUAAAUUUCUAACUGCUGCCAUAACUAUUAUUUCGGUAUCAGAUGGGUUAAAUCAGCCCCCUUUUUUCGCACCGGAAGUGGCCUUCUUUUUCGUACUUUCGGCAAGUUCCGCCGUGGCAGACUAUCGAAUUUGGACUUAGCAUCACUUUUAUGGGAAACCAUUGUGCAUUUCAUCGUGGUAUCAAGUCGGUUAGAAAAUUUGCGGCCGGCUCUUCUACUAGAAGAUCUUGGAGAGCCAUUUCGUUUCGCUAAUGAUCGCGGUUAAGCUCACCGCAGACGCAACGGAAUUCCGGAUCAGGUAUGAAACCACUGACACACUGCUCCCGGAAAUCCGUUAUACCCGCGGUGAACCACCAGUCUCUGAAUUUUAGUAGCCGAUCAAAAUCGAAGUCUGUCGAGGAGUUUAAUGUAACCAAAUGUAACAUUGCAAUGAAAAACUUCGUAAAAAUGACUCUCCGAGCAAAUACAAAGGAAUACCAACGAAGGCAAAUUCAAAGGGCUGUCCGCUAAAAUGAGAAAUUAAUAAAUAUAAUUCACCUCUCGUUCGGUAUAUAUAGCUCCAGCAACGCUCGAUAUGAGGCAUAUUUGAUUUAUGUUUCAAAUAACUGUUGCAUUCUACUUCUUUUUUGUUAAUUGUCCUAAUAUUUGUAAUAAAUAACCUUAUCCAUUUUUCUCUCAAUGUUGUUAAAACGUGAGCACCUAAACCAUAAAUACAAAUAUUAAAUAUGUAGAUGUAAAUGUUUCACAUACAACUUGUAAAAAUCAACAUGUAUGCUGUCACUAAUUGCAGACAAAAGUUCCAGUUCCAUGCCUAAUAAAUACAACGUGUUGUAUUCUGUAACGUUGAAGUAAAUUAAUUGUUGAUUAUUGUAAUUCACUAUUGUCUGUUAAUAUUUAACAUCCUAAUAAACAUAUUGGAAAUA
Long non-coding RNA from Cydia splendana, 1220 nucleotides. RefSeq lists it as uncharacterized. NCBI's taxonomy places the organism in Eukaryota, Metazoa, Arthropoda, Insecta, Lepidoptera, Tortricidae. The transcript is spliced from 2 exons. The record is from RefSeq and is a predicted model, not a curated record.